UACAGAGGUCUCAAGCGUUGUUCGGAUUCAUUGGGCGUAAAGGGUGCGUAGGUGGCGCGGUAAGUCGGAUGUGAAAGCUCGGAGCUCAACUCCGAAAUGGCAUUGGAAACUACGUCGCUAGAGGAUCGGAGGGGAGACUGGAAUUCUCGGUGUAGCAGUGAAAUGCGUAGAUAUCGAGAGGAACACCAAUAGCGAAGGCAGCUCGCUGGGACGGUACUGACGCUAAGGCGCGAAAGCGUGGGGAGCGAACAGG
Molecule: ribosomal RNA, 253 nt
Filed under: uncultured bacterium
Lineage: Bacteria
Description: partial 16S ribosomal RNA
Rfam family: Bacterial small subunit ribosomal RNA
Source: RNAcentral